RNAcentral lists this ribosomal RNA (529 nucleotides) under actinobacterium MS-M-107. RNAcentral describes it as "bacterial SSU rRNA". It matches the Rfam family "Bacterial small subunit ribosomal RNA", at positions 116 to 659 of the family's 1533-position model. Lineage: Bacteria; Bacillati; Actinomycetota; Actinomycetes. The record is from RNAcentral.
CGUGAGAAAUCUGCCCCUGACUCUGGGAUAACUGCGGGAAACUGUAGCUAAUACCGGAUACUUUCCCUGGUGGGCAUCCACCGGGGAAGAAAGAAUUUCGGUCAGGGAGGAUCUCGCGGCCUAUCAGCUAGUUGGUGAGGUAACGGCUCACCAAGGCGACGACGGGUAACCGGCCUGAGAGGGUGACCGGUCACACUGGGACUGAGACACGGCCCAGACUCCUACGGGAGGCAGCAGUGGGGAAUAUUGCACAAUGGGCGCAAGCCUGAUGCAGCAACGCCGCGUGAGGGAUGAAGGCCUUCGGGUUGUAAACCUCUUUUAGCAGGGAAGAAGCGAAAGUGACGGUACCUGCAGAAAAAGCACCGGCUAACUACGUGCCAGCAGCCGCGGUAAUACGUAGGGUGCAAGCGUUGUCCGGAAUUAUUGGGCGUAAAGAGCUCGUAGGCGGUUUGUCACGUCUGCUGUGAAAAUCCAAGGCUCAACCUUGGACUUGCAGUGGGUACGGGCAGGCUAGAGUGCGGUAGGGGAG